CCCUCCUACAAAGGCGUGUCUUAGGUUCCCUGUCUUUGGACACGUAAGAAUUGGAGGCAAAGAAAUGUGGAUUUGGAGAAAUCUGAGGCUAGCUUGCUCCCCGCAGGCUCACGAUCAACCAUACCACAUAG
Molecule: small nucleolar RNA, 131 nt
Organism: Castor canadensis (American beaver)
Lineage: Eukaryota; Metazoa; Chordata; Mammalia; Rodentia; Castoridae
Source: Ensembl